GACGAACGCUGGCGGCGUGCUUAAUACAUGCAAGUUGAACGCUGAAGGUCUGUCCUUUUAUCAGCUGGAUGAGUGGCGAACGGGUGAGUAACACGUGAGUAACCUGCCUUCUACCUUGGGAUAACGUUUGGAAACGGAUGCUAAUACCGCAUAAUAACUGUUAUCACCAGUUUUAUGUUUGAAAAAUUUAAUUUUGUCACUCAAUGAUGGUCCGGCGUUCUAUUAGGUUGUUGGUGGGGUGACGUCUCACCACUUCGAUGACGGGUAGCCGGCAUGAGAGGGUGACCGGGGACAUUGGGAAUGAGAAAAGGCCCAGACGACUACGGGAGGCAGAAGUGGGGAAUAUUGAACAAUGGGCGAAAGACUGAUGCAGCGACGGCGAGGGAGGGAUGGAGGCCGUAGGGUUGUAAACCUAUUGCGCUCAUGGUGAAGCCGCAAAUGUGGGUUGUGGUGAGGGUAGUGGGUAAAGAAGCGCCGGCUAACUACGUG
RNAcentral lists this ribosomal RNA (489 nucleotides) under uncultured bacterium. RNAcentral describes it as "partial 16S ribosomal RNA". It matches the Rfam family "Bacterial small subunit ribosomal RNA", at positions 28 to 507 of the family's 1533-position model. The record is from RNAcentral.